Molecule: ribosomal RNA, 253 nt
Filed under: uncultured bacterium
Lineage: Bacteria
Description: partial 16S ribosomal RNA
Rfam family: Bacterial small subunit ribosomal RNA
Source: RNAcentral
UACGGGGGGUGCGAGCGUUGUCCGGAAUCACUGGGCGUAAAGGGCGCGUAGGUGGUUUGAUAAGGGUGUGGUGAAAGUCCGGAGCUCAACUCCGGAUCUGCCGUGCCGACUGUCAAACUCGAGGGCUGUAGAGGCAGACGGAAUUCCGGGUGUAGCGGUGGAAUGCGUAGAUAUCGGGAGGAACACCAGUGGCGAAGGCGGUUACCUGGAGCUUUGCUGACGCUGAUGCGCGAAAGCGUGGGGAGCGAUCCGG